UAGAAGCAUGUUUAUUAAUAAUUAUAAAUAUUAUUCCAUAGCUAUCGGAGACGGAACAAACGUAACAGUAAUGAGCUUCAAUAUUUAUUUCCAGUAUGUCCAGUGUAUACAGUCUAAAUCCUAUUUCCAUUCUUGGUCAGUACCACCUCCGGCAGUUUUGCUUUGACCGAAUCGUAGCUGUCAUCUUACAAUGUACCUUUUUCCUCAAUUCCAUAUAGUUGUAUUGUUUACAGAACUGACAGGAUGAUGCCGACGGCAUGGAUGAGGGCAGUUUUGCUUGCUUGUCUUCUGCGUAAAAGAUAUACUGUAUCCCAAAUAGAUGAAGUGGCUAAGAAUAUUCGUUGAAAUAGAGGAAAUAAAAAACUGUUUCAAGUUCAAGACACCAUUGGAUGUUUAUAUCAGUUCAGCUCCGGCAGAGAGUACUCUCUCAACUUUAAGAAGAGUAAAGGCUUCGCUAAGAACAAGAAAGGGGACACGCGACUAACCGGUCUAUGCAUACUUUACGUUCAUAGAGACAUUGAAGACUGAAAAUGUAAUCCAAAGAUUUGCAAACAAGGGUGCCAGAUGUCUUUAAUACGUUGUUUUAGAUCUUUUUCGUCUUUAAAAAUGAUGUAGUACUACUCAUUUGCAAUAAAUAUGAAUUUUAAAAAAUAUUACUUUUGUUUUUAUUAUACUUAAUGAACUAUACUUAAAUAACUUUUAGUACUGUACAAGUACAUUUCUUUUCGUACUUUUAAAUUUUUAGUCUAAGAUAGAAAACCCAUUUUUUAGUAGAGAUUGUGGCAAACUAAAGCCAAGGCCCCUUCCCCGAAAAUAAAUACUGGAUCCGCCCUUGAUUCAGUCUUAAAGUACACCACAACAUGGGCAGUUUUAUCCUCAACGUCGUACACCGAUCAUUAUAUUCAACAAGAUACACCAAUCUAAAUGCAUUUAGAUUUAGAACAGGAUUUGUUGAGGAGCUCACAGUGGAGCAUGCAUCCCCAAUUAAACUUAAACAAAACAAAACAAGUGAUUUAAGGUUUUGUAUCUUUUUAUUCAUUUUAAACAACUCAUUUCAAUCAGUGAACAUUUCAGUUAUUUUACAUUAGUAAU
Homalodisca vitripennis (glassy-winged sharpshooter) is the source of this 1092-nucleotide long non-coding RNA. RefSeq lists it as uncharacterized. The record is from RefSeq and is a predicted model, not a curated record. The transcript has 3 exons. Lineage: Eukaryota; Metazoa; Arthropoda; Insecta; Hemiptera; Cicadellidae.